GUGUUCGCUUCGGCAGCACAUAUACUAAAAUUGGAACGAUACAGAGAAGAUUAGCAUGGCCCCUGUGCAAGGAUGAAAAUAUGUAUUUGGGAAACCUCAUCAGUGAAA
Molecule: small nuclear RNA, 108 nt
Organism: Dipodomys spectabilis (banner-tailed kangaroo rat)
Lineage: Eukaryota; Metazoa; Chordata; Mammalia; Rodentia; Heteromyidae
Source: RefSeq, a predicted model, not a curated record